RNAcentral lists this transfer RNA (87 nucleotides) under Desulfovibrio sp. RNAcentral's name for it is "tRNA-Leu". It matches the Rfam family "tRNA". Rfam says of the family: Transfer RNA (tRNA) molecules are approximately 80 nucleotides in length. Lineage: Bacteria; Pseudomonadati; Thermodesulfobacteriota; Desulfovibrionia; Desulfovibrionales; Desulfovibrionaceae. The record is from RNAcentral.
GCCGGGAUGGUGGAAUUGGUAGACGCGGCGGACUCAAAAUCCGCUACCCGCGAGGGUGUGAGAGUUCAAGUCUCUCUCCCGGUACCA